UAAAAUGGUUUAAAAAAAACUAAAUUUCAUUGUAAAUGAAAUAUCUAAUGAUUUCAUUUU
RNAcentral lists this transfer RNA (60 nucleotides) under Ixodes sigelos. RNAcentral describes it as "tRNA-Val". Lineage: Eukaryota; Metazoa; Arthropoda; Arachnida; Ixodida; Ixodidae. The record is from RNAcentral.